GGAUCGGGAGGCCGCCACUCGGGACGGUGGCCAUGAAUUGAUCCGGACGUGUCGUCUCGUAUGGGCAAGGCGCCGGGGCCCGACGGUGUCGUUG
Regulatory RNA element from Ruegeria sp., 94 nucleotides. It matches the Rfam family "Rhodo-rpoB RNA". The record is from Rfam. NCBI's taxonomy places the organism in Bacteria, Pseudomonadati, Pseudomonadota, Alphaproteobacteria, Rhodobacterales, Roseobacteraceae.